RNAcentral lists this non-coding RNA (77 nucleotides) under Clostridium sp. RNAcentral describes it as "c-di-GMP sequence". It matches the Rfam family "c-di-GMP-I riboswitch aptamer". From Rfam's summary of the family: GEMM was predicted in a large-scale screen for bacterial structured RNA regulatory elements. Genes associated with GEMM are involved in a diverse array of functions, including chemotaxis regulation, signal transduction, secretion and chitin. RNAcentral also lists the same sequence under 1 other name. The record is from RNAcentral. Lineage: Bacteria; Bacillati; Bacillota; Clostridia; Eubacteriales; Clostridiaceae.
GAACUAAACGGGCAAACAUGCAGGGGUGCAAAGCCACAGGGUCUUCUUUCGCACAGGGACGACAGCCGGUUGCCGCA